CUGUGCUGGAAUUCCUUGAGUGGAGAACCACCCUUAAUUACACUUGUAUCAAACACAUUUUUACUCAAAUGUCAAAAGAUGGAAUUAUAAUUGAUAAAAUCAUUAACUAAAUGUAUUUGUAAUAUAAGUGUUUAAAUGUAUUAUAGCAUUUAUGUUUACGUAAAUUCUGAAAUUUUUGCAUUUUUAUUCUUAUUAAAAUUGUGACAAG
Molecule: long non-coding RNA, 208 nt
Filed under: Mytilus galloprovincialis (Mediterranean mussel)
Lineage: Eukaryota; Metazoa; Mollusca; Bivalvia; Mytilida; Mytilidae
Source: RNAcentral